Molecule: transfer RNA, 66 nt
Filed under: Trapelus ruderatus (Baluch ground agama)
Lineage: Eukaryota; Metazoa; Chordata; Lepidosauria; Squamata; Agamidae
Description: tRNA-Ala
Source: RNAcentral
UAAGACCUGCAGGAUCACCUACAUCACCUGAAUGCAAAUCAGAUAUUUUACUUAAACUAAAGCCUA